Brassica napus (rape) is the source of this 1230-nucleotide long non-coding RNA. RefSeq lists it as uncharacterized. The record is from RefSeq and is a predicted model, not a curated record. The transcript has 3 exons. NCBI's taxonomy places the organism in Eukaryota, Viridiplantae, Streptophyta, Magnoliopsida, Brassicales, Brassicaceae.
CUUAAAACAGAGUGCGAUAGCAUGUUCCAUCGCUGCGCGAAUUGCUAGUCCUUCAGCCACGAGGGACGAGAUCACACGCGCAAUAGAUCGACUAUGAGAGCUAAAUCUCUCAUUCUGACUUCCGUAGAAACUCCAAGCUAGACCAGCUGCUUGAAGCUCUUCCUUCCACGCUGCAUCUGACCUGAAGAUCACUUCAAAUUCACCUCUGCUUCGCGUGCUGUUCUUCCUCUGCGUCUCUGAUAGCCCAAAGAAUCCAUGGACCAAGGGAUCCUUUUCCAAGAUCUGUAGGGGGGAGAGUUUUUGCUUGCAAGAGUAUUUUCCAUUCCACAUCAAAAUUGUUCAGAGGCCUUGGCGUGAAGCCACCAGAGAAAGACAUGUUGCUACUAGAUUACUAGUACCACUAUCUGCAAAGCUCUCUCAGCAGCCUGAGAAUGGCAAUUGGCGCAACAACCUUAUGUGUCCUCCCAAGGGCACGCUACUCCGCCUGAUGUACACGCCUUAUUGCCCUCUGGCUGUUUCCAAUAUGCAAAAUGGAUGCAGCAUGGUCAAAAGAAACAGGAGCUGCAGGUUUAGGAUGGAUCUUCGAUCCUGGUCAUCCAGACAUAACAAUCUGCCAAUCCAAGAGCAUUAUUUCUGUUUCAUCGUCUUUAAUGGCUGAAGCACUCGCUAUACUCGGAGCAAUCUUCUCAGCAAAGCAACGUCUUCUCUCCAAAGUCUGGUUUCGAUCUGACUCUCAAAGACUCAUCCAAGCUAUCAACUUGAAAUUCUCAGUUGAGCUUUAUGGAGUUCCAUUGAUAUCGAAUUUCUAUUCUCGUAUUUCAGUUUCUCUUUGUUUUCUUUCAUUCUUAGAACUUGAAAACAUGAUGGCAACCGAAAACAUGAUGGCGGGCGGAUUCUCUGGCGGGUGUAAUCUCUACCUUCUUGUAUUAGACUUCAGUUUCUAUUAAUCAAAUGGGUGUUCAAAAAAAAAGAAACAUUUAACAUGAUGAAUAAGGAUAAAGGGACCACCAGUGCUACAUGUCAAUUUUUAAAGAUUUUUGAUAUCUUUAUAUCAUUCUAGUUAUUUAAAAUUAAUUCUAUAAUUAUAGAUGAAAUAAUUUAUUUUAUUUUUAUAUAAAAAAAUUAAUUUUAUUUUUAAUUUGAAUAUAUCAAAGUAAUUAUUAAUUAGUAAAAUAAAGAAUUCACUUUAUUAAACAAAUCAUUGUAAUGAGUAAAAUUGAAUGUACUAAA